RNAcentral lists this ribosomal RNA (468 nucleotides) under uncultured bacterium. RNAcentral's name for it is "partial 16S ribosomal RNA". It matches the Rfam family "Bacterial small subunit ribosomal RNA", at positions 28 to 507 of the family's 1533-position model. The record is from RNAcentral.
GACGAACGCUGGCGGCGUGCUUAACACAUGCCAGUCGAACGGAAAGGCCCUGCUUUUGUGGGGUGCUCGAGUGGCGAACGGGUGAGUAACACGUGAGUAACCUGCCCUUGACUUUGGGAUAACUUCAGGAAACUGGGGCUAAUACCGGAUAGGAGCUCCUGCUGCAUGGUGGGGGUUGGAAAGUUUCGGCGGUUGGGGAUGGACUCGCGGCUUAUCAGCUUGUUGGUGGGGUAGUGGCUUACCAAGGCUUUGACGGGUACCCGGCCUGAGAGGGUGACCGGCCACAUGGGGACUGAGAUACGGCCCAGACUCCUACGGUAGGCAGCAGUGGGGAAUAUUGCACAAUGGGCGGAAGCCUGAUGCAGCAACGCCGCGUGCGUGAUGACGGCCUUCGGGUUGUAAACCGCUUUCGCCUGUGACGAAGCGUGAGUGACGGUAAUGGGUAAAGAAGCACCGGCUAACUACGUG